UGGGGAAUUUUGGACAAUGGGCGAAAGCCUGAUCCAGCCAUGCCGCGUGAGUGAAGAAGGCCUUCGGGUUGUAAAGCUCUUUUAGUCGGAAAGAAAGAGUUGCAAUGAAUAAUUGUGAUUUAUGACGGUACCGACAGAAAAAGCACCGGCUAACUACGUGCCAGCAGCCGCGGUAAUACGUAGGGUGCGAGCGUUAAUCGGAAUUACUGGGCGUAAAGGGUGCGCAGGCGGUUAUGCAAGACAGAUGUGAAAGCCCCGGGCUUAACCUGGGAAUUGCGUUUGAAACUACAAGACUAGAGUGCAGCAGAGGGGAGUGGAAUUCCAUGUGUAGCAGUGAAAUGCGUAGAGAUGUGGAAGAACACCGAUGGCGAAGGCAGCUCCCUGGGUUGACACUGACGCUCAUGCACGAAAGCGUGGGGAGCAAACA
Molecule: ribosomal RNA, 427 nt
Filed under: uncultured beta proteobacterium
Lineage: Bacteria; Pseudomonadati; Pseudomonadota; Betaproteobacteria
Description: bacterial SSU rRNA
Rfam family: Bacterial small subunit ribosomal RNA
Source: RNAcentral